GUAGUAGUAGUAGUAGUAGUAGUAGUAGUAGUAGUAGUAGAAAUAGAAAAAUAAGUAGGAGAAAAAUAGUAGUAGUAGUAGUAGUAGUAGUAGUAGUAGAAAUAGAAAAAUAAGUAGGAGAAAAAUAGUAGUAGUAGUAGUAGUAGUAGUUUUGAUAGCAGUGUUCUUAGUAAAAAUGAUCUUUAUAUACCAGUCAUAAUUGAUUCUGACCGUAGAUAUAUAUUUCAUGUGUAGAAAAAAACUAACAACCUUCUCAAAAAAAAUAAAAAAAUAAGUGGACACAAAAUACUAAAAAUACAAAGUGCCAAAACAAAACAAAAAAACAACAAAAACAAACACAAAACACUACGACCAAAUAUCAGUUAAAUAUAUGCCCAGGUGAGCCCAAUCAGGUGACUCAGGUGAGGGGCAGAACAAAAUGCAUCAGGUCUGGUUACAUCAAAGCACAAACAAGGGAAAUGACUACGUGUUAUGCGUCUCGGCGGCUCUGAGGGAGGGAGCCGCGCGGAGAGUCAGACGAACUGUGAGACGCCCCGGGAAAGCUCAGAGGGGCCAUGGGAAAGGAGGUGAGGCGCUGGGGUGAAGGGGAGGAAGGGGAGAGAGUGUCACCCUUCCCCUAAGUCCCCAAAGCACCCAGCACCCACCGCCCCCAUGUUUCGAUGCAAAUGGUGGGAGCCUUUUCCUGGAUAUCGAGCUAACACGUGCCAAUAUAUUCGUCUUUUUUCUUCCGUCCUCAGUUGCGGGCGUUGUGUGUCCCCUCGCCGCGCCGCCCUCACUCUCUACUCCUCUCCCCAUUCUUCUCUUCCCUCCCUUUCUCUACUUAAAUCGUAUCUCCAUUCCCAUCUUUCCUAUCCCACUCUCUAUCUCCUACAUCCUAUCUACAUGUGUCCAGACUCCUCGUGCAGUGACCUGGUUUUAGUUUAUUUCCCUCACGAUCCAUUUGCUGGGGCCGACCCGCACUUUGAACACAGGAACACAAGGGCAAGAGCAGUCUGCAAGAGGCCGGUAACCCCGUCUCCCUCAGCUUCUUACACAUAGCUAUAUAUAACUCUUGCCUCCUGUGCCGGGUCAACUCAUACCAAGAACAUAAGAGCAAAAGGAGUCUGAAGGAGGCCAGUAACCCCGUCUCCCACAGCUUCUUACACAUAACCAUAUACAUAACUCUUGCCUCCUCUGCUGGUCCAACUCAUACCAAGAACAUAAGAACAAAAUGAGUCUGCAUGAGGCCAGUAACCCCGACUCCCACACUUCCUCAUACGGUGCAAAACAAGAACAUAACAGUCACCUACGAAGCCGGCGUUGGGGCACGGAGGAAUAUAUUGGCACGCCGCAACUCGAUCGCCAGGAAAAAAUCGUCCCGGUCUCUCUACGAUGCAUGCAGCGGUUCAGAACAUUCCAGUCUCAAUCAUCAGGGCGGAAAACGGAUCACCUGGCAAUGCUGCGUGAUCGUUUCGUCCUCUACAGGUACAGCAGAGUUUAGUCAAGAGGAGAGUGUAGUGUGUUCAAGGCCAAUUAGAGUGAAGGGGCUAAUUUGAAGUUCCUGCGCCCGCUCGCCCGCACUGACAUGCCGGGAGAGAGAGAGAGAAAUAUAGGGGAGGAACGGAAAGAGGUAUAAAGUGCGGUAGAAAUGAGGUAGAGAGGGAGGGAGACUGGAUUUAGGUAGGGGAAGGGAAGGGAAAGGGAGGUAGAAGUGAGGUAGAAAUGACGUAGAGAGGGAGGGAGACUGGAUUUAGGUAGGGGAAGGGAAGGGAAAGGGAGGUAGAAGUGAGGUAGAAAUGACGUAGAGAGGGAGGGAGACUGGAUUUAGGUAGAGGAAGGGAAGGGGAAGAGAGGUAGAAGUGGAGUAGAAAUGAGGUAGAGAGGGAGGGAGACUGGAUUUAGGUAGGGGAAGGGAAGGGAAAGGGAGGUAAAAGUGGGAUGGGAAAGACAGGAGGGAGGAAUGGAGAUACGAUAAAGGUGGAGGAAGGGAGGGGAAGGGAAGAAGGGGAAGGGAUGGGAAGAGAGGAAGUAGAGAGUGGGAAAGGAAAGAUGGGAAUGGAGAUACGAUUUAGAUGGAAGAAAGGGAAGGAAAGGGAAGGGAAGAAGGGGGAGAGGAGUAGAGAGUGAGGGCGGCGCGGCGAGGGGACACACCGACAGCAGGCGCUCAGAGCCAAUCAAGGAUGCGCAGGUAGGGUAUGUUCUCCAAUUCGUACGCGCCUCUCCCAAAUAGUACUUAGUAAAAAAUAAAAAAAAUAAUAAAAAAAAAGGAAAACUCAAUCAACACAGGUAUGAAAACGAACGGAUCAGAACUUAUAAUUCGUUUUUUUUAUUCUUUUUUUUUCGACCGUUUCAGUUUCACACCUCAGCAGCUCGUGUUUCCAGUUUUCUUUCUUUUCCUUUUCAUAAUCCGAGAAAGGAAGAAAAAACAACAACAUCGGCAAAAGUUGAACUGACAUCGUAAUAUAGAAAAAUAAUCGCUAAAUGUCAGAGCAAAGAGUAGUAGUAGUAGUAGUAGUAGUAGUAGUAGUAGUAGUAGUAGAAGAUAAAGAAAAAUCAGAAUAAGUAGGAGGAAAUAGUAGUAGUAGUAGUAGUAGUAGUAGUAGUAGUAGUAGUAGUAGUAGUAGUAGUAGUAGCAGUAGUAUGCGUCAGCUCAACAAUUUACCAGAGCAGUUUUUUCCCCCCUCCCCAACUUCACGCGCGUACUAAAUGGAUCACGGCGCGUACGAAUGCAUAAACAAACCCACCCCGGCGCAGGUAGUAGUAGGUUAGUUCAAGGUCACACGGGGCCGAUGCAAUCAAUACGUUACCUUCACUUUACCUCACGAUUUUGAGCGAGUCGGAGUGUGUGAGUGUGGGUGAUUCUGUCUCUCUUUCUCUGUCUGUCUUACUUUCUCUCUCUCUUUCUUCUUUGUGCUUUGAGUGAGUCAGUAACAGGUAAGGCAAAGGUUGUAUGCCAUUCGUUCGUUCACUCUCACUCUCACACUCUCACUCUCUCUCUCUCUCUCUCUCUCUCUCUCUCUCUCUCUCUCUCUGGUGGUGGUUAUGGAGGAAAAACAAAACAAUAAAUAUAAAAACAAAGAUAUUCUCCACCUCAAAAAUAACGCAAAAAAAUAAGAGGAACAAAAAAAAUGAUGAAGGUGGAGGAGGAUGAAGUGGAUGAAUAUAACUCAACUCUCCACCUCCUCCUCCACCUCCAAGAACGCUGAGUAAAAAGGGGACUCAAAAGUGGAGGAGGAGGAGGAGGUGGAGGUGGAGAGGAAGAGGUGGACGAGUGACUACUUAAGUAAAAUCCAUCACAGCCCAAAAGAGGGACGGAAAAGUGGAGGAGGUGGAGGAAAUUGAGUGACAAAAUUCCACCAUGAUCAAAAAGGGGAGCAAUGAAGUGGAUAAACAAGUGGAGGAAAGAAAGGGCAAAGGACGUGAAGAGUGGAAGGGAAAGAAAAUUCACCAAAACAAAGGCAACAAAGAAGUGGAAAAACAGGUGGAAGAAAAACGGGAAGGCGAUGAGGAGGGAGAGAAAGAAGCAACCAAAUCCACCACAAACAAGAAAAAAAAAAAAAAGGCAAAAGAGGAAGAGGAACAAGUAACUAUGUCCACCACAAGGAAGAAAAAAAAAAACUAAAAAAGUGGAACACAGGAGGAGGAGGAGGAGGUGGAGAGGGAGAGAUACAAGAAGCUAAAUCCACCACAAAUAAGAAAAUAAGCAAAAAGAGCGAAAGAAAGGCGAGGUGGAGGUGGAGGAGGUGGAGGAGGAGGAGGAGGAGGAGGAGGGGGAGAGAUGAACGAACGAAAACGCCAUCGCGACCACUCUUGCCUGGACUUAACAUCGCU
This is a long non-coding RNA of Eriocheir sinensis (Chinese mitten crab), 3810 nucleotides long. RefSeq lists it as uncharacterized. The record is from RefSeq and is a predicted model, not a curated record. The transcript has 3 exons. NCBI's taxonomy places the organism in Eukaryota, Metazoa, Arthropoda, Malacostraca, Decapoda, Varunidae.